Long non-coding RNA from Mastomys coucha (southern multimammate mouse), 579 nucleotides. RefSeq lists it as uncharacterized. NCBI's taxonomy places the organism in Eukaryota, Metazoa, Chordata, Mammalia, Rodentia, Muridae. The record is from RefSeq and is a predicted model, not a curated record. The transcript has 3 exons.
CUAGUGGUGGGACUGAGAGAUUCUAUGGGGAGAAAGGCCAAGGAUCUGAAAGUUGUCUAGUCCACGAGACUGGAUGUCUCACCAGCACUGACAUGGCCCUGCAGUCCCAGGAAAGUCCUAGAUAGCUGCUGGUUUUCAGUCUCCACUGGAAUCCUGGAAGAGGUAGGUUCUAACACCAGCAGAAGAGUAUCUCGGGGACAGGCUACGUGAACCUGCCGGUCAGAGUGUGGGAACACAGGUGAAGAAAGUAGACCAUCGAUUGGACCUGGAGCUGACUUUCCAUAGCAAGAAGAUGACAGAUAAAGCAUCCUUCAAGUGUGAAGAAGGUCUUCUUAGAAACAUGUCUACUCACCUCCACUACCAAGAACAGCAGUGAUUGUGAACACAUCCAAAUGAGCAAAAUCUAAGAGCUUUCACCAAAAAACCCUCAUGGAAGCACAUCUAAAAGAUGUGUGGCGGGAGGAAGGGAACUGGAUUCAGAGAAACUCAGUGAGAGUCAGAAAUGUUUACUUCUAAGAGGUUGUUAGACUAUGUUCAAACAUCAACAAAUGACUAUAAAACAAUAUUUUCCAUGACCAA